RNAcentral lists this ribosomal RNA (74 nucleotides) under Tissierellia bacterium. RNAcentral describes it as "partial 16S ribosomal RNA". It matches the Rfam family "Bacterial small subunit ribosomal RNA", at positions 1 to 73 of the family's 1533-position model. Lineage: Bacteria; Bacillati; Bacillota; Tissierellia. The record is from RNAcentral.
UUUAAAUGAGAGUUUGAUCCUGGCUCAGGACGAACGCUGGCGGCGUGCCUAACACAUGCAAGUCGAGCGAGGCU